This 855-nucleotide long non-coding RNA is filed under the name Ananas comosus (pineapple). Its description in RNAcentral is "long non-coding RNA (ACOM_LNC026499)". Lineage: Eukaryota; Viridiplantae; Streptophyta; Magnoliopsida; Poales; Bromeliaceae. The record is from RNAcentral.
UUUUGGAUAAUAUUUGGAUACAGAUAGAAAAUAUUCAAAUUUUAGUAUUAUUAUUUUGAAUUAAUUUUAUAUAGGCUCCUAUGAAUUUGCAAAUAUAUUUCUAUAAAAUUCAACUUUUUAUAUAUUGUCCCUGUAAAAGUUAUAAUAUUUUCAAAUAUGUCCUUUUGAUUUGUUGCCGUUAAAACAUUGUCUAUUUUAUAAAUAAAAUGAUCUUUUUAUCAUCACAAAUAUGUCCCUCUGAAAAUUCCAACUGUUAAUUAAAGAGAGGUAAAAGGAUCAAUUCAACUCAUUAACUAAUUAGAGUUAAGUAUUUAACCUAUAGUUAAUUAAUUUUUUUUCUAACGAAUUCUAACGGCAUGGACAUAUUUGAAAACAUCAGAAUUUUUGAAAAGACAACAUAUGAAAGUUAAACUUUGUAGAGAUAUAUUUAUAAUUCACUAUAUUUAUAGAAACCUGUAUGCAAUUAACCCUAUUAUUUUUAUAUUCUUUAUAUUUCCCACCCAAUUUCUUCCACCCGGCCAGCUCAAAUCCCUUUCCUCCAGAGUCGAUCUCUUUUGCCUACUUCUCUAAUUCAUUGCCAAUCAAGAUACCGAGGGAUGAUUUAUACAUAUUGUUUGAAAAUAAAAUUUUGUAUUAUUCGUUUAUUUUAUAAUAAGUUAUAUAUUAAAAUUAUAUAUUUUAUAUGUGAAGAUAUAUAGUCAAGAAACACGGUAGGAAAAUAAAGUAAUUUUUGGUGUUCAUGCGUAUUAAUAUAUAUUAUUAUCCAAAUAAUACCCGAAUACAUAUCCGAUCCAUAUUCAAGUCCGAAAAAUUAUCUGAUCAUAUCCGAAUUUGUUUUUAGUAGAUAUUGUAAUA